GGGGUCACAUGAAUCUUGACAUUUAUAAACAUGCAACUGCAUUUCUUCUUCAAGCCAAGGAAACCCAUCGACUGACAUGGAGAGCUGUUAACCACAUCGUGAGUGGAGUCCAGCAAUAUCAGGCCGUAUUAUUGUAGCACCUAAAACAACAAAUGAGUGACAUGAUUGAAAGACAUUCUGGGGACCUGGGUCAACUAAAGAGUGAUGCAGUGGGGGUAUUUGACCAGUUUGUUGACCCUUUCACUCAGAUUGCUUCCACCCAUUUGCAGGACAAGACCAUCAAAGAACUGUUAAAACCAGUUGAACCAGAGAUUGUUGUCACAAAACAAACAGUAUGUUACAUGAAGUGUGGAGACUCCAGAGUUAUUGCCAUUAAGGACCAUUGUUUUCAUUAUAUACCAUUGGUGAAAAGACAUCCAAGAGUGCUUGCAAUGAUGGACGAGAGGCCAAAGCCAUGCAAGCAUGGCUUUUUUUCAUGAUUUUCAAUGUCACGUUGACACGGUCUAUUUCUUGAAACAAGAUGAUUCAUCUUUUACAAAUAACACAGCAACUUAAAACAUUUAUGAAAUGCCAAAAAAGCUUGUUUCGUGUGAGUUAUGACUCAAAACAAUAUGAUUUUAAGAUUUUUUCACUUAACAAGAUAUCUAAGAUGCAAUGUCUAAAAACAAGUUCCUAUAUCUCACUGAAAUGUUACUCUGUAGCUGAUUUUGUCUUAUUUUAAGUGUGAUUAGAUAUUUUGACUAGAAAUAAGACAAAUAUACUU
Long non-coding RNA from Oreochromis niloticus (Nile tilapia), 763 nucleotides. RefSeq lists it as uncharacterized. The record is from RefSeq and is a predicted model, not a curated record. The transcript is spliced from 3 exons. Lineage: Eukaryota; Metazoa; Chordata; Actinopteri; Cichliformes; Cichlidae.